This is a non-coding RNA of Phrynosoma platyrhinos (Desert horned lizard), 76 nucleotides long. The record is from the annotation of a GenBank genome assembly. NCBI's taxonomy places the organism in Eukaryota, Metazoa, Chordata, Lepidosauria, Squamata, Phrynosomatidae.
GGCUUUAUAGUUAGAUAAGUGGUUUGAAUGUUGGACUAUGACUCUGGACACCAGGGUUUGAAUCCCUGCUGAGCCA